RNAcentral lists this ribosomal RNA (429 nucleotides) under uncultured bacterium. RNAcentral describes it as "partial 16S ribosomal RNA". It matches the Rfam family "Bacterial small subunit ribosomal RNA", at positions 338 to 795 of the family's 1533-position model. The record is from RNAcentral.
CCUACGGGGGGCUGCAGUAACGAAUCUUCCACAAUGCACGAAAGUGUGAUGGAGCGACGCCGCGUGUAGGACGAAGUCCUUCGGGAUGUAAACUACUGUCAGGGGUAAGAUCUACCCCAGAGGAAGAGGCGGCUAACUCUGUGCCAGCAGCCGCGGUAAUACAGAGGCCUCGAGCGUUAGGCGGAAUCACUGGGCUUAAAGCGUGUGUAGGUGGAUGCCUAAGUACCUUGUGAAAUCCCACGGCUUAACCGUGGAACUGCUGGGUAUACUGGGUGUCUUGAGCCACUCAGGGGCGAGCGGAACUAACGGUGGAGCGGUGAAAUGCGUAGAUAUCGUUAGGAACGCCUAUGGUGAAAACAGCUCGCUGGGUGUGCUGACACUGAGACACGAAAGCCAGGGGAGCAAACGGGAUUAGAUACCCGGGUAGUC